RNAcentral lists this ribosomal RNA (486 nucleotides) under uncultured bacterium. RNAcentral's name for it is "partial 16S ribosomal RNA". It matches the Rfam family "Bacterial small subunit ribosomal RNA", at positions 30 to 507 of the family's 1533-position model. The record is from RNAcentral.
AUUGAACGCUGGCGGCAUGCCUUACACAUGCAAGUCGAACGGCAGCACGGGUGCUUGCACCUGGUGGCGAGUGGCGAACGGGUGAGUAAUACAUCGGAACAUGUCCUGUAGUGGGGGAUAGCCCGGCGAAAGCCGGAUUAAUACCGCAUACGAUCCACGGAUGAAAGCGGGGGCCCUUCGGGCCUCGCGCUAUAGGGUUGGCCGAUGGCUGAUUAGCUAGUUGGUGGGGUAAAGGCCUACCAAGGCGACGAUCAGUAGCUGGUCUGAGAGGACGACCAGCCACACUGGGACUGAGACACGGCCCAGACUCCUACGGGAGGCAGCAGUGGGGAAUUUUGGACAAUGGGCGAAAGCCUGAUCCAGCAAUGCCGCGUGUGUGAAGAAGGCCUUCGGGUUGUAAAGCACUUUUGUCCGGAAAGAAAUCCUUGGCUCUAAAACAGUCGGGGGAUGACGGUACCGGAAGAAUAAGCACCGGCUAACUACGUG